AGUCGAACGGGGUUAUUCAGGAAAUUUCCUUCGGGGAAUGGAAUCUUUAACCUAGUGGCGGACGGGUGAGUAACGCGUGAGCAAUCUGCCUUCGGAUGGGGGAUAACAGCCGGAAACGGCUGCUAAUACCGCAUAACACAUGGGAUUCGCAUGUUUCUCAUGUCAAAGAUUUAUCGUCCGGAGAUGAGCUCGCGUCUGAUUAGCUGGUUGGCGGGGUAACGGCCCACCAAGGCGACGAUCAGUAGCCGGACUGAGAGGUUGAACGGCCACAUUGGGACUGAGACACGGCCCAGACUCCUACGGGAGGCAGCAGUGGGGAAUAUUGCGCAAUGGGGGCAACCCUGACGCAGCAACGCCGCGUGAUUGAAGAAGGCCUUCGGGUUGUAAAGAUCUUUAAUCGGGGACGAAUUUUGACGGUACCCGAAGAAUAAGCUCCGGCUAACUACGUGCCAGCAGCCGCGGUAAUACGUAGGGAGCAAGCGUUAUCCGGAUUUACUGGGUGUAAAGGGCGUGUAGGCGGGCAUGCAAGCCAGAAGUGAAAUCUGGGGGCUUAACCCCCAAACUGCUUUUCGAACUGCGUGUCUUGAGUGAUGGAGAGGCAGGCGGAAUUCCCAGUGUAGCGGUGAAAUGCGUAGA
RNAcentral lists this ribosomal RNA (636 nucleotides) under uncultured bacterium. RNAcentral's name for it is "bacterial SSU rRNA". It matches the Rfam family "Bacterial small subunit ribosomal RNA", at positions 60 to 694 of the family's 1533-position model. The record is from RNAcentral.